Molecule: non-coding RNA, 65 nt
Organism: Podarcis lilfordi (Lilford's wall lizard)
Lineage: Eukaryota; Metazoa; Chordata; Lepidosauria; Squamata; Lacertidae
Source: the annotation of a GenBank genome assembly
GGCUUAACGGUAAAAGCAGCUGCCUGGCAUGCAGAAGGCCACAGGUUCGAUCCCCAACAGCACCU